This 274-nucleotide ribosomal RNA is filed under the name Hydroporus sp. IBE<ESP> AV45. RNAcentral's name for it is "partial 16S ribosomal RNA". The stretch from base 1 to 199 matches the Rfam family "Bacterial large subunit ribosomal RNA", at positions 2442 to 2642 of the family's 2925-position model. The record is from RNAcentral. Lineage: Eukaryota; Metazoa; Arthropoda; Insecta; Coleoptera; Dytiscidae.
UUAAUGAUUAUAAGAUUAAGUUACCUUAGGGAUAACAGCGUAAUUUUUUUAGAGAGUUCUUAUCAAUAAAAAAGUUUGCGACCUCGAUGUUGGAUUAAAAGUAAUUUUGGGUGUAGAAGUUCAAAAUUUUGGUCUGUUCGACCAUUAAAUUUUUACAUGAUCUGAGUUUAGACCGGCGUAAGCCAGGUCGGUUUCUAUCUUUAUUAAUUUAAUAUAUUUUAGUACGAAAGGACCAAAUAUAUAAUAUAUUUAUAUUAAUUUUUUGAAUAUUAUU